This 726-nucleotide ribosomal RNA is filed under the name Bacillus amyloliquefaciens. Its description in RNAcentral is "bacterial SSU rRNA". It matches the Rfam family "Bacterial small subunit ribosomal RNA", at positions 69 to 778 of the family's 1533-position model. Lineage: Bacteria; Bacillati; Bacillota; Bacilli; Caryophanales; Bacillaceae. The record is from RNAcentral.
AAGAUGGGAGCUUGCUCCCUGAUGGUAGCGGCGGACGGGUGAGUAACACGUGGGUAACCUGCCUGUAAGACUGGGAUAACUCCGGGAAACCGGGGCUAAUACCGGAUGGUUGUUUGAACCGCAUGGUUCAGACAUAAAAGGUGGCUUCGGCUACCACUUACAGAUGGACCCGCGGCGCAUUAGCUAGUUGGUGAGGUAACGGCUCACCAAGGCAACGAUGCGUAGCCGACCUGAGAGGGUGAUCGGCCACACUGGGACUGAGACACGGCCCAGACUCCUACGGGAGGCAGCAGUAGGGAAUCUUCCGCAAUGGACGAAAGUCUGACGGAGCAACGCCGCGUGAGUGAUGAAGGUUUUCGGAUCGUAAAGCUCUGUUGUUAGGGAAGAACAAGUGCCGUUCAAAUAGGGCGGCACCUUGACGGUACCUAACCAUAAAGCCACGGCUAACUACGUGCCAGCAGCCGCGGUAAUACGUAGGUGGCAAGCGUUGUCCGGAAUUAUUGGGCGUAAAGGGCUCGCAGGCGGUUUCUUAAGUCUGAUGUGAAAGCCCCCGGCUCAACCGGGGAGGGUCAUUGGAAACUGGGGAACUUGAGUGCAGAAGAGGAGAGUGGAAUUCCACGUGUAGCGGUGAAAUGCGUAGAGAUGUGGAGGAACACCAGUGGCGAAGGCGACUCUCUGGUCUGUAACUGACGCUGAGGAGCGAAAGCGUGGGGGAGCGAACAUGGA